Long non-coding RNA from Mercenaria mercenaria, 1581 nucleotides. RefSeq lists it as uncharacterized. NCBI's taxonomy places the organism in Eukaryota, Metazoa, Mollusca, Bivalvia, Venerida, Veneridae. The transcript is spliced from 3 exons. The record is from RefSeq and is a predicted model, not a curated record.
GUAUGCUCUGCUGGUACGUUUGGCGAAAACUGUGACCAGGACUGCGGUUUCUGUCUCAGCAAUACUGCAUGUGAUGUAAUUAACGGAAUUUGUCCAAAUGGCUGUAAUCCGGGUUACCAGGGAGAUGCAUGUGAUAUAGAAUGUGACGUCACAUCCGUCAACUGUUCUUCAUGCGCUGCUGGAUUUCAAGGAGCCAUGUUCAAAACAGGUGGUAUUGUGGCCGUGUCUGUUUGCGUUUGGUACUUUUCUACUAUUCUUAACAAAGACUAAACAUAUACUAAACCACCUUCUACUAUUUCUUCGGAAGACCGUCCCAUGCCAGUACAAGCUUGAACAAAUGGUUGUUAAAACAAAAGACGAAUUGAUAUUUUCUGGAUUUUAUACUCUGUAAUCAUUUUUAAGAGCGUGAGUUUAACAAUGACAUACUGGCGCUCGAUGCAAUUCCGUUUAUACCAUUUCAAAGAUUUUUAUAUAUAUUCUAGUGAGAAGCCUGAUAUUUACAGUUCAUACAAAAUAAGCAUUACCCAUAGUAAAUAAAUUUAUAUUAAAUGUAUAUAUAUAGCAUAUAUAUGCUUUAUUUUACAUUCAAUCCGUUCAUAUGUUACCCGUGUGUGAUACCUUAAAGUUACAUGAGUUGGUCACCCCGACAGGCGAAAUAAUCAUAGGGUUCAACAAAGAAAAAGACUGGAGUUUCGUAUGUAAAGACUUUACCGAACAACUGUGGAGCACUUUCAGUGAGAAUGACGUCUUUCUAAUUUGAUACCUGCAAGAAUUUGAAAUCCCACUAAUGACGACCUUAUGAAGAUUAUGGACAGACAUGCUCAUAAAUCAUACAUUAGCAUGGUACGAAAGUCAAUGACCAUUGUGACAUGAUUUCUCUAGCAGUAUUACCCACUAGGAUAUAGUCAUCAGCGUUGACUCUGCCGUCUGUGCCUCUGCCAGUGAAAUAUAGAAAAAGCAGCAAUAAAACAUUAUCGUUUAUAACUUAACUGGGAGUUCUUGAACACAGUUUUGGCGGACCAGAUGUAUUUGUUUUUGACGUUGCUUCUUUUAUUUUGUUUGCAAAAGGAGAAUACUAACGAACUAAAGUACAUGUUACAUUUCAUCUUCCAGAUUGUAGUUCAAUGUGCAGUAUUUCAGUGAAAAAAAUGCAGAAAAGACAAAAUAAAUAAGUCUUUUUUUGGUAAAAUUUAAAUUUGCAUAUUAUGCUAGGUGUUUGUUCAAUGUAGGCUCUAGUCUUUUUGUUCAGACUGAAAGUAACAUAGCUUUUACCAAUUAUUCAGUUAGCCUGUGUUUGAUUUUGGAGAGCGGCCAUCUUGCAUACUAAUAUAACCUUUACGACGGCCACGUAUUUAUAGUAAUAUUUCUAAGAAUAUAUAAUACUUUGAAGCUUAUUUAAUUGAAGUACAUCUUGAUGCAUAGUAAAUUUCAGUUAUACCUACAGUUGACUUGGCUCACUCAGACUCGAUGUCGGUAUUAAGAGCCAUGGAACAAAAUGCACUAUAUAGAGAUUUGACGAUGAGUUCGAGCGAAAGGUUGUGUUCGAAAUAUCUGAAAUGUGACUGUACUGUUAUACAUAAA